GCUGUUAAGGGUUCGUAGUUGAACUGGGGGCGCUCAGGUAGACGAAUCAGUCCCACACCGCUUUCGGUGUUCGGCGCUCUCGCUCCUGUCGCUCGUGAACGACAGAAACAAAUACCGCGGGACGUUUUCUCUCCAACAUCACUACGCAUGCAACGUAUGCAGUGUGGGGGGAUGCCCGUGUUUUUACUGUGACUAAAAAAGCGUGACCAAAGCAGUCAUUCGACAUGAAUUUCAAAGCUGGGAUAACAACGAAGCAACCUACGGGCUACCGCCUUGGCUUUUGUUGGUUUUAAAGGUCUGUGGGGACUAUGGGUUCGCACGACAAGCGGUCCGGGGCGACUUAGCCCCUACGCCUCCGGCCGGCACUCCUCUGUGGGUCCGGUUCUGGCUUGCGACGCCCAGGAAUGAAGGAGGGUUGUUCGGGGGGAACGUACUUGGUCGUGAGAGGUGAAAUUCUUAGACCGACCAAAGACGACUACAGCGAAGGCAUUCUCCAAGGAUACCUUCCUCAAUCAAGAACCAAAGUG
RNAcentral lists this ribosomal RNA (527 nucleotides) under uncultured kinetoplastid. RNAcentral describes it as "bacterial SSU rRNA". It matches the Rfam family "Eukaryotic small subunit ribosomal RNA", at positions 615 to 991 of the family's 1831-position model. The record is from RNAcentral. Lineage: Eukaryota; Euglenozoa; Kinetoplastea.